This 1530-nucleotide ribosomal RNA is filed under the name Cainia desmazieri. RNAcentral's name for it is "eukaryotic LSU rRNA". The stretch from base 619 to 1530 matches the Rfam family "Eukaryotic large subunit ribosomal RNA", at positions 1 to 940 of the family's 3401-position model. The record is from RNAcentral. Lineage: Eukaryota; Fungi; Ascomycota; Sordariomycetes; Xylariales; Cainiaceae.
CUACUACCGAUUGAAUGGCUCAGUGAGGCUUCCGGACCUACGUGUGGGAGUUGGCAACGACACCCUAACGCGGGAAAGUUAUCCAAACUCGGUCAUUUAGAGGAAGUAAAAGUCGUAACAAGGUCUCCGUUGGUGAACCAGCGGAGGGAUCAUUAUAGAGAUUUUUCUCGCCCAACCCUUGUGUACCUUACCUAGUUGCCUCGGCGGCGACGGGGAGGGGCCGUAAGAACGCCCCCCCCGGCCCGCCGGUGGACACCGAAACUCUUGUUCAAACAUGUAUUCUGAAAUAAAAAGCAAAUAAGUUAAAACUUUCAACAACGGAUCUCUUGGUUCUGGCAUCGAUGAAGAACGCAGCGAAAUGCGAUACGUAAUGUGAAUUGCAGAAUUUAGUGAAUCAUCGAAUCUUUGAACGCACAUUGCGCUCCCUAGUAUUCUGGGGAGCAUGCCUGUUCGAGCGUCAUUUCGACCCUCAAGUCUUAGCUACUUGGUGUUGGGGCGCGCCCUGGCGCGCCCUUAAAAAGCAUUGGCAGAGCUGGUUAGCAGUCUGAGCGUAGUAAACCACCUCGCUUCUGAAGGCUUUCCGGCCCCUUCGCCGUAAAACUCAUUAUUACCAAAGUUUGACCUCGGAUCAGGUAGGAAUACCCGCUGAACUUAAGCAUAUCAAUAAGCGGAGGAAAAGAAACCAACAGGGAUUGCCCUAGUAACGGCGAGUGAAGCGGCAACAGCUCAAAUUUGAAAUCUGGCUCUCGGGCCCGAGUUGUAAUUUGCAGAGGAUGCUUCUGGCGCGGUGCCUUCCGAGUUCCCUGGAACGGGACGCCUUAGAGGGUGAGAGCCCCGUACGGUCGGACACCUAGCCUCUGUGAAGCUCCUUCGACGAGUCGAGUAGUUUGGGAAUGCUGCUCUAAAUGGGAGGUAAAUUUCUUCUAAAGCUAAAUACCGGCCAGAGACCGAUAGCGCACAAGUAGAGUGAUCGAAAGAUGAAAAGCACUUUGAAAAGAGGGUUAAACAGCACGUGAAAUUGUUGAAAGGGAAGCGUUUGCGACCAGACUUUCUCCUGGCGGAUCAUCCGGCGUUCUCGCCGGUGCACUUCGCCAGGUCAAGGCCAGCAUCGGUUUCCGGAGGGGGACAAAAGCUUUGGGAACGUGGCUCCCUCGGGAGUGUUAUAGCCCUUUGCACAAUGCCCCUCUGGGGACCGAGGUUCGCGCAUCUGCAAGGAUGCUGGCGUAAUGGUCGUCAACGACCCGUCUUGAAACACGGACCAAGGAGUCGAACAUUUGUGCGAGUGUUAGGGUGUCAAACCCCUGCGCGUAAUGAAAGUGAACGGAGGUGAGAGCCCUUACGGGUGCAUCAUCGACCGAUCCUGAUGUUUUCGGAUGGAUUUGAGUAAGAGCAUAACUGUUCGGACCCGAAAGAUGGUGAACUAUGCGUGGAUAGGGUGAAGCCAGAGGAAACUCUGGUGGAGGCUCGCAGCGGUUCUGACGUGCAAAUCGAUCGUCAAAUCUGCGCAUGGGGGCGAAAGACUUAUCGAAC